GUAAUCAAAAGUUUAUUGAUUGUAAACCCGUAUGAAAGAUGGAACCUAUAGUUUCUUUUAUUUGUUCAAAAACGAAAUUAAAGAAAAACGAAAAAUAUUUUUUUUGGGGGCAGACGAGAAGACCCUAAAAGCUAAUUGAAACCAAUUUUUUGGGGAAAAUACUAUUGAAAUUCUAAUAACAAAAAAAUUCAAAAACUUAGAAAUAAGCUACUUUAGGGGUAACAGAGUAAUUUUUUCAAAAAGAACUUAUUGAAUUAAGAGAUUACGACCUCGAUGUUGGAUUCCUGUAUCUCGAUGCCGCAGCAGGUUUGAGAAAAUAGACUGUUCGUUUUUUAAAUCAGG
This 342-nucleotide ribosomal RNA is filed under the name Tetra pinnatifidae. RNAcentral describes it as "partial 16S ribosomal RNA". The record is from RNAcentral. Lineage: Eukaryota; Metazoa; Arthropoda; Arachnida; Trombidiformes; Eriophyidae.